CAGCCGCCGCGGUAAUACAGAGGCCUCAAGCGUUGUUCGGAUUCAUUGGGCGUAAAGGGAGCGUAGGCGGUCGGGUAAGUCGGAUGUGAAAUCCUGGGGCUCAACCUCAGAACUGCAUUCGAUACUGCUUGGCUAGAGGACUGGAGAGGUGAGUGGAACUUCCGGUGGAGCGGUGAAAUGCGUUGAGAUCGGAAGGAACGCCCGUGGCGAAAGCGGGCUCCUGGACACCACCUGACGCUGGGACGCGAAAGCCAGGGGAGCGAACGGGAUUAGAUACCCCCGUAGUCCCUGUCUCUUAUAC
Molecule: ribosomal RNA, 301 nt
Filed under: uncultured bacterium
Lineage: Bacteria
Description: partial 16S ribosomal RNA
Rfam family: Bacterial small subunit ribosomal RNA
Source: RNAcentral